CUCGGAUCAGGUGAGGAUACCCGCUGAAUUUAAGCA
Molecule: ribosomal RNA, 36 nt
Filed under: Peltigera orientalis
Lineage: Eukaryota; Fungi; Ascomycota; Lecanoromycetes; Peltigerales; Peltigeraceae
Description: partial 28S ribosomal RNA
Source: RNAcentral